UACGAAGGGUGCAAACGUUGCUCGGAAUUAUUGGGCGUAAAGCGCACGUAGGCGGCUUUUCAAGUCCCAUGUGAAAUCCCACGGCUUAACCGUGGAAGUGCAUGGGAAACUGGAAAGCUUGAGUACUUAAGAGGAUCGCGGAAUUCCCGGUGUAGAGGUGAAAUUUGUAGAUAUCGGGAGGAACACCAGUGGCGAAGGCGGCGAUCUGGGAAGAUACUGACGCUGAGGUGCGAAAGCGUGGGGAGCAAACAGG
Molecule: ribosomal RNA, 253 nt
Filed under: uncultured bacterium
Lineage: Bacteria
Description: partial 16S ribosomal RNA
Rfam family: Bacterial small subunit ribosomal RNA
Source: RNAcentral